RNAcentral lists this small RNA (280 nucleotides) under Histoplasma capsulatum. RNAcentral describes it as "hypothetical RNA". Lineage: Eukaryota; Fungi; Ascomycota; Eurotiomycetes; Onygenales; Ajellomycetaceae. RNAcentral also lists the same sequence under 1 other name. The record is from RNAcentral.
GCCACUGAAGUUAAUAGUUGUCUGCUGUCUUUAUCUUCUUAUGAUUCACAUCUUGUCUUUUGCACUUAUAGUGAGCUUUUAAGAUUUCUGAUAAUUGCUGAUGCACUGUGAAUUAUUGAUUCAGAGCUGAAGCAGAGCAAUCUUAUCUAAGUUUUUAUUCAAUGAAAACAGAAGUGAAGUUACAAAGAUACCUCACUAUAUAUUCUUAUCAAGAUUGAUUCUUUUGUACUCAAACUUAAAGCACAGUACUGGGCUUCAUAACAGAGUAUGUAUAUUAACU